This 1063-nucleotide long non-coding RNA is filed under the name Equus asinus (donkey). RNAcentral describes it as "lncRNA (ENSEASG00005029483.1)". Lineage: Eukaryota; Metazoa; Chordata; Mammalia; Perissodactyla; Equidae. The record is from RNAcentral.
CGGGAGCAGGCAGGGCGCCGGUUGCUGUGAAGAGGGCGGAGGGGCGGGGGCGAGGGCGGCGCAGGCGGAAGGACGAGCCGGGAAGAGCGGAAAAAUCGGCCGAUGGUGCCGCUGCCUCAGUUCUGCCCGCUUCUGUAGCCUCCUUGCUGGGUACAGCGGAGCAGAAAGAGCCUUAGUGUUCCCUCCCAAUCCCCCAGUAAGAAGCUAGCGCUGAAACGUGGGAGGCGUGGUAGCCACCGACAUUUAAUGCCUCUCUCCCGCUCGAUUUCUGAAGGUUCUGCGGCCUGGAGACGGCAUCGCGGGCACGCUUCAACUGUAGGGGACGGUAUUCUGAACAGGCAAGAGCCUGUGACUCAGGGGUGGUCCCUCCGCACCUUCAGAUGAGAAGCUGAAGACGUACAGCUCCAGCCUGACGUCCGUGGGGGGUACACCAAAGCCCCCGAUGUGGCCAGAGGUAACCCAAUAGGCUCCCCCGUUACGCCAGAUUAUCCCUGGAGAAUUCACUCUCCACCACGUGAAAGGAAGAGACGAAAAGUUUGGGGACUCGAUAUAAGUCGGGAAGCAGCAGCUGGUCAGCUCUUUGCAUGCUUUGAGUCUAAUUACACAGAGCACAAAUCCAUUGCCCAUGAAGAAAAGGAACACUAGAAUGAGCCCUCUGAAAAAACCCAGGUGGUUGCCUUGACUCCUCACCUCUGAUUUACCCGCCUUCUCUGCUUCCUAAAGCUAAACAAAGUAUCACUAUGUCCUAGAAGAUGAAGCUCGCCAGGAAGCUGCUGUUUGGAAGCUUUUGUUCACCAAAUGCCUGCGAUUCUCCCAACACACCAUUCUCGUGGUACUCCAAGUGCAGAGGAUUGAGUGGAUCAGAAACUUUCCUUCGAAUAGGAAUCUAUAAUGUUGCUGUGAUGUUUUUUCCUGCACUUGAGUGGUGUUGAAUGCUCUGAGUAAUGAGAGCUGCAGGAGGAGACACUACUGUACACUCUGCCAAGACACAUCACUGAAUCACUUUUUACAAACUCUCAGUGAGUGGACACCCUUCAGUGCCAUCCUAAGUUGAGUAGUGUUC